This 115-nucleotide ribosomal RNA is filed under the name Acinetobacter baumannii. The record is from RNAcentral. Lineage: Bacteria; Pseudomonadati; Pseudomonadota; Gammaproteobacteria; Moraxellales; Moraxellaceae.
GCUGGCGACCAUAGCAAGAGUGAACCACCUGAUCCCUUCCCGAACUCAGAAGUGAAACCUCUUAGCGCAGAUGGUAGUGUGGGAUUACCCAUGUGAGAGUAAGUCAUCGCCAGCU